AGCCUCUCUCUCCCAAACAGCAAAGCCGCUGCCGGGAAGGGGCCUGAGCUCUGUUUCCAUGGUUGCUUCCUUUGCUUGUUUGACAUAAAUCAGCUGAGGAUUCUAAACCAAAAUGUCACCUGCUUAGUUCUCAUGCUAAGCAGCAGACGUCAGUCAUCUCCCAACGUGUGACGUCACCGUGUUUUCUUUACGGCGUCGGGUCUUGCUAUCUAGUAGGUGCCCGUUAACAAAUGUUUGAACAACUUGGCGAAUAAACAACUGUUUCAUCGAUUAUUUAACGAAUCAGCACCUGGUGAGUGCAGAAAUGACUCUAAAUGGCAUGUUUCCUUUCUUCUUUAGUUUGUUCCUGCUUCUAUACAAGUAUCUGUCAGUUGUUGAUUCUUCCAGAGCGUCUGCUGUGUUCUUGGUGUCUCUGACAAGACUGUAAGCUGCCUGAAAAUACGGAUCGCCUUCGAAUUGUAGAACUGAGAAAUGGCGGGGAGCAGGCACAGUGUCAUUGAGAUGAUCCAGGAGCCACACAGAGGUGGGGAAAUGAGAGCAGAGAAACUGGCCCUGGCCUAGGCCCAGGGGGCCUCGGAGUCCAGGCGGGACCUUGGUCUCUGAUUGUGCCUCAGAAGUGAAUCAGCACCACCGCCUUCUGUCCUUGGGAUGCUCCACUGAGCACCACCGUGGGAUUCGCCAACAGCCACGCAGGGCCCUCAGCCCGGCCUCGCCCCACGGGCACUCCUGGCAGGACAGACAGACACACGGCUGGAAGGAUGCGUUCUCCCAAGGAAACUGGUGCUGUGUGGACCACAGGCAGAAUUAAUGUUUCAUGUUCGACCUGAAGUCUCUGAUGAGUCCUUUAAGUCCACGCUGGGACAGUGGAUGAUGUGGGCAGCAGGCCUGUGACUCCACGUGGACCCCCAUGAAUGUUGUCAGCGUGUCUACGCGAAGCUGUGCCAUUUACAGGAGAAACACUGGGUGGUGAGACUUGGAUGAGGUCAGCAGAGAAAGCGGCUGAACAGAUUCAGCUGUCCCCUCAGGUGACUGUGGAGCUAUGAAGACCUGAGGCAGGUACUUCUGUGCUAGCAAGGAAGGAUGUUUAUGAUAUAAUUUGAGGGGAAGAUAUAAAUCAGAGGUGUGGGGUGUGCAGAGGCCCCUGCCUUCCCCAGUGGGUGGACAGUACCUACACUGACACCCCCAGCAAGGCUGCCCAGGUGCUUUUCUUGGCAGCCAUCAAGUGAAAGGUACUUGCC
This 1238-nucleotide long non-coding RNA is filed under the name Papio anubis (olive baboon). Its description in RNAcentral is "lncRNA (ENSPANG00000048865.1)". The record is from RNAcentral. Lineage: Eukaryota; Metazoa; Chordata; Mammalia; Primates; Cercopithecidae.